Molecule: non-coding RNA, 72 nt
Organism: Schistocerca cancellata (South American locust)
Lineage: Eukaryota; Metazoa; Arthropoda; Insecta; Orthoptera; Acrididae
Source: the annotation of a RefSeq genome assembly
ACUAGGGUGGCGCAGUGAUUAGCGCGCCUGUCUAAUGAACAGGAGACCUGGGUUCGAAUUCCAGCCUUGGUA